Molecule: long non-coding RNA, 392 nt
Organism: Nothoprocta perdicaria
Lineage: Eukaryota; Metazoa; Chordata; Aves; Tinamiformes; Tinamidae
Exons: 3
Source: RefSeq, a predicted model, not a curated record
GUGACCAUGUUCCUGUCCUCUUUAUGCAGACAGGAGUAUUYGCCUGAAUUUGCAUGAAGAUCCCMAAAUACUGCAAAAAUAAUCUGAUCCUGGACUGAAAAAGGAAGCAGUAAUUCUUGACUAUUAGARAAUUAAAGAGGGAACAGAAACGAGCCUCUCAGGAAAGAGCAGCAAGGAGGAACAAAUUGUCACUGGGCCAGCUGUUACCACUGCACAACUCCUUACCUGCUGUGGUCAUCACCAGUGUGAAACCUUGCAGAGAAUGGCAAAGAGAUUCAACAGAAGUUGCAACUUGGAGAGAUGUGAAGCGAGAGCAGCUUCUGGGUGCUGUUCUUAAAUUUGUUUCCACUCUCUGUUGCUUUGAAGGACAGAACACACAGUGAGCUCUUCUC